GAUGAACGCUGGCGGCGUGCCUAAUACAUGCAAGUCGAGCGAACGGACGAGAAGCUUGCUUCUCUGAUGUUAGCGGCGGACGGGUGAGUAAAACGUGGAUAACCUACCUAUAAGACUGGGAUAACUUCGGGAAACCGGAGCUAAUACCGGAUGAUAUUUUGAACCGCAUGGUUCAAAAGUGAAAGACGGUCUUGCUGUCACUUAUAGAUGGAUCCGCGCUGCAUUAGCUAGUUGGUAAGGUAACGGCUUACCAAGGCAACGAUGCAUAGCCGACCUGAGAGGGUGACCGGCCACACUGGAACUGAGACACGGUCCAGACUCCUACGGGAGGCAGCAGUAGGGAAUCUUCCGCAAUGGGCGAAAGCCUGACGGAGCAACGCCGCGUGAGUGAUGAAGGUCUUCGGAUCGUAAAACUCUGUUAUUAGGGAAGAACAUAUGUGUAAGUAACUGUGCACAUCUUGACGGUACCUAAUCAGAAAGCCACGGCUAACUACGUG
Molecule: ribosomal RNA, 497 nt
Filed under: uncultured bacterium
Lineage: Bacteria
Description: partial 16S ribosomal RNA
Rfam family: Bacterial small subunit ribosomal RNA
Source: RNAcentral